Molecule: long non-coding RNA, 2799 nt
Organism: Takifugu rubripes (torafugu)
Lineage: Eukaryota; Metazoa; Chordata; Actinopteri; Tetraodontiformes; Tetraodontidae
Source: Ensembl
CCUGAAGACCAAUUAGCCAAUUAGCUUUGAUCUUAUCAAAGGCACGCAUAUUUGCAUUCAAACUGGAACUUAAGCACCCCAUCAGCAAAUUUAACUACGCCGCUGGUGGGUGGUCUCGCCUUAAUCCACUGAAAUAAAAUGUACUGUUAUCGAAAGUUGCUUCCCUCCUGCAGUUUCUCCUGACCUACAGCAACCGGCAGAUUUGCCUUAAUAUGAUUUAACAAGAACACACCAGGAUUCAUCUGGAUGUGUUUAUCCUAUGUACAGAUGAGUUCUUAGGAGAUAUUUCUUCUAAAGCCUCAAUUUCAUUGUUCUAAAUCAGGCCGCAUUACAGACAAAUGGAUGAAAUUGCAGGAAUAGUAAAAAUCUAUUUACUGAGUCAAUGUUUAUGUUAAAUACUAUUAAAUCAAAAUCAGACAGAAAUUAAAGACUCAAUAUUUGGGGUGUGCUGAUUACAUUUGCAGUUAUUUGAAUCUGCAAGUUUUGGUUGCGAGGCUUAUCUGAAAGCAAUUAACAAUGAACAUAGUAGUUGCGUUUAUUUUGAUCAAUAUUGUUGUUAUUGCAUGAUGGCUACAUCAUAUGAAUAUUAAAAUAUAAUUAUAAAUAAAAUAUAAUAAUUCUCCAAAAACUCAAAGGAAAGCCUUUUAAUAAUGCUGUAGUUGGGGGAGAUGACAUAAUUAGACAUUAAUCUUUAUUUUCUAACUACGCAGCUAACGCUAAUUUCCAAGAUGGCGGCCAUCCAGUCAAGCUUCUUCGCUGAAGGACGAUCGGCAAACGCCGGGUACGACUUCAGGGCAGGCAGAGGUUGAAGGCUUCCCACAUUAGGAACGCUCCAGAACCCGAAAAGCGUUAACUAAGACCAUCGUCAACGAAGUCAGAACCACCAGGAAGAACCGAAAACAGCUAAUUUAAUGCGAUAAUUCGCAUUAGCACAGCACCAUGACUCCGCAGCUACGAGAUUUCCAUCACCGGACAGGUGCCUUGAUAGAGAGCCAGAGGGUCAAGUUGAUUUACCAACUGUUUUUGCUGGAGAAUGCCCGAAAAACGCUGGAAAGAGAACUUAUUAACUUCACCAAAAAGGCAUAUGAGGACGUUCAGAAUUUCUUCAGUUCAUCUGUUCCCGCUGUUUCAUUCAGUGAUCUUGUGAAGACUUUGGAUGCAAACCUGCAAGCUGUUGAGGUGCUUUCUGCCUUUGCAAAAGAAUUCUCAGUGGGGGCAUCCACUUUUAAAUGUUUUAAAAAGAAGUCACGACUGAACGCGGUUGAACCGUUUGGGUGGAAAAGGAUGGCACCUGUUUUCGGUGAUGGCCCCGCAUUGUGGGACUUGCUCAUAGGCCGCUCUGGAUCUAAAGCGGUGCGGGUAUUUGGAGCGACAAAGCUUUUACAAGAGCCGAAACUAUUCCUCAUCCCACCACGUGUUUUCAUUCAGCAGGAUGAUAGAAUAUGCAGCAGGUGUGCUGUUAUCACUGUGAACUCGUCCUCUUGCAUAAAAGAGGAAGAACAGGAACAAGCUGUUGCUGUAGAAGAGAAACACACACUGGGCGACGUGACCUUUUCACCUGAUGGUGUUCAGAGUCCCUCGGCUGGUCCAGGGAGACCACGUCUCCUGCUGCCUUUUACGCCGACAAUUUUCCCACAAGCCAACAUUCCCGCUUCAGAGAAAAUAACCCAGCUUAGCGACUGUAGAAACAUGGAAGAUGGUCAGAUGCUACACCAGAAACAAACAUCACCUCAGCUGCUUUGCUUUCUCAAAGCUAAAGCUAAAGAUUUAGGCACAUUACCGGCAAGGGUGUGGUUCGAAGAACACGCCAACGUGUCUAGUCCACCCCAGCUGGUUUCCACCUCCGACGAAAUCCAGGCCCGCCAACCGAAACAUGUCUCAGAUGAUGCGAUUGACACAGAAGUGCCAAAGCAAGAUGUCGAGAACCAAACCCGGGUCUUUAAAGUCAAGCAUGAAGAAUCCAGCGGCUCUCUGACUUAUGCGUACGUAACGGCAACAACAACAGAAUUAUGGGAUUUGGGAGACAUCUUUACGGAAGCUUCGCAGGAGCUUUCAGACGUCAGACGCGUGGAAGAUGAAGCAUGUGGAAAUGUCGAGCAUGAGGAUAUGAGCUCCUGUGUGAAUCCAGCAGAGCCCGUGCGCGAGAGCGCUCGUGGUCCCCCAAUGCCCACAGUCAAUGGAAUCGCCAUCCCCGAGUUCCACAUCCACAGGUUCGGAGAAAGCGAAGUUGUUGUGUCUCACAUCAUUUCCCCAGGCAACUUCUUCAUCCAGCAGGCUGACUCCAUCACCAAGCUGCAGGCCCUGAUCACACACAGCUGGGCAGCACAUUAUUCAUAUGCUGAGCAGAGCAGAAUUCCAGACAUUGGAACCAAAGUCAUGGGUUGGUUUCCAAAGCAGCAGCAGUGGUCCAGGGCUCAAGUAAUGAAGAUCUGUGGAAUCACUGAAGAUACGGAUCCCAUGAAUCGUGGAAAGUCUAUCAAAGUGGAGGUGAAGCGGUUGGACCAUGGUGACGCCGCCUGUCUGUCUCUGCAGAACAUCACUGACAUGUCCCCAGAAAUGGCAGCCCUCCCACUGCAGGCUUUACAGGUCUCUUUGGCACACACAGGUUGGCUGUGUGCGAGCAGGCGGCUCCAUGGACCCCCAAAGACCUACGGGACAUCUUUUCAGGAGAUGCCUAAGCUGACGCGGUGAGUCUGUCGAGGUGGGGGGGGUGACUACCUUGCACUUGUGUGUUUUGCAUUGUUUUGGGAUGCUUGAGUCUGUCGGCAUUCCAUCGUUGUUCCGGUUGACUUAACGUGC